Molecule: long non-coding RNA, 326 nt
Filed under: Capsella rubella
Lineage: Eukaryota; Viridiplantae; Streptophyta; Magnoliopsida; Brassicales; Brassicaceae
Description: long non-coding RNA (CRUB_LNC003104)
Source: RNAcentral
GCUUUGAUGUUAUAUGCAUUACUUGUAUUUCAAUUAUGUUUUUGGUUUUGUUUGGACGCAUGUAUUAAUAUUGUGAGAUUAAAAGCUUUACUUAAAGGAUUGUGUGACAAUAAACCAUUUGUUACUCUUUUUUCUUUUUUUUUAUUGUCAUAAUUUUAAAUUUGAGUAAAAAAAUUAUUAAAGCUGGAACGUGCUCUGUUUGUUAGAGAAUCUCGAAUUUUUAAAUAUUAACCCGUAGUGUAGUAGUUUCUGUUAAAAUGUUUUGCAAUUGAGCAUGUACUUAUGACAUGUCAUGCCAAGCUCAUAUAAUGCGUACAAAUUUCUUU